This 288-nucleotide signal recognition particle RNA is filed under the name Cebus imitator (Panamanian white-faced capuchin). Its description in RNAcentral is "Metazoan signal recognition particle RNA (ENSCCAG00000009653.1)". It matches the Rfam family "Metazoan signal recognition particle RNA". Rfam says of the family: The signal recognition particle (SRP) is a universally conserved ribonucleoprotein. Lineage: Eukaryota; Metazoa; Chordata; Mammalia; Primates; Cebidae. The record is from RNAcentral.
GCCAGGCACAGUGGUGCGUGCCUGUAGUCCCAGCUACUCGGGAGGCUGAGGUGGGAGAAUCGCUUGAGCCCAGGAGUUCUGGGCUGUAGUGCGCUAUGCAAUUGGGUGUCCGCACUAAGUUCGGCAUCAUUAUGGUGACCUCCCAGGAGCGGGGGACCACCAGGUUGCCUAAGGAGGGGUGAACUGGCCCAGGUAGGAAACAGAGCAGGUCAAAACUCCCGUGCUAAGCAGUAGUGGGAUUGCACCUGUAAAUAGCCACUGCGCUCCAGCCUGUGAGACCCCGUCUCU